AACCUAGCACACCUGCGGUGUGUACCUGCGGAAGGAUCAUUAAUAAAUGUUACUUCGGUAACUUAAUUAAUCCCUAACACCUGUGCAUCUUGUCGCUCCGGCGUCAUUUUAUAAACAUCAGUGUAAUGAAUGUAAAGUAUUAUAACAAAUACAACUUUCAACAACGGAUCU
This 171-nucleotide unclassified non-coding RNA is filed under the name soil metagenome. RNAcentral describes it as "partial contains 5.8S ribosomal RNA, internal transcribed spacer 2, and large subunit ribosomal RNA". The record is from RNAcentral.